Molecule: long non-coding RNA, 3116 nt
Filed under: Patiria miniata (bat star)
Lineage: Eukaryota; Metazoa; Echinodermata; Asteroidea; Valvatida; Asterinidae
Description: uncharacterized LOC119733171, transcript variant X2
Source: RNAcentral
UUUGAUAUGGGGAGGAUAAGAUCUAAGAUGGAGUUCAAAGAAUAAAGUAAAAGCCUUGCUCUAACACUAGUUGGAUCAGCAAACACGGUUUGGUUUAUCAAACCAAAUACUAGUUAGAGCAAGUAAGAAAUUGAUGUGGGGAGGAUACGAUCUGAGAUUGAGUUCAGAGAAUGAAGCAGAAGCCUUGCUCUUACACUAGUUGGAUCAGAAAAAAUGGCUUGAUAAACCAAACCAAGUACUAGUUAGAGGAAGUAAGAGUUUGAUAUGGGGAGGAUAACAUCUAAGAUGGAGUUCAGAGAAUGAAGCAAAACCUUGUUCUCACACUUGUACGAUCAGAAAACAAAGUUUGGUUUAUCAAACCAUGUACUAGUUAGAGCAAGUAAGAGUUUGAUUUGGGGAGGGUAAGAUCUAAGAUGGAGUUCAGAGAAAUGAAACAGAAGCCUUGCUCUUACACUAGUUGGAUCACAAAACAUUGUCUGGUUUAUCAAAUCAAGUGCUAGUUGAAACAAAUGAGAGUUUGACAUUGGGAGAAUAAGAUCUGAGAUGGAUUUCAAAGAAUGAAGUAAAAGCCUUGCAUUUACACUAGUUGGAUCAAGAAACAAGGUUUUGGUUAAUCAAAUCAAGUACUAGUUAGAGCAAGUAAGAGUUUGAUAUGGGGAGGAUAAGAUCUAAGAUGGAUUUCAAAGAUUGAAGUAAAUUCCUGCUCUUACACUAGUUGGAUCACGAAACAUGGUUUGGUUUAUCAAAUCAAGUACUAGUUAGAGCAAGUAAGAGUUUGACAUCGGGAGGAUAAGAUCAUAGAUGGAGUUCAUAGAAUGAAGCAAAAGCCUUGCUCUUACACUAGUUGGAUCAGAAAAAAGGUUUGAUAAACCAAACCAUGUACUAGUUAGAGGAAGUACGAGUUUGAUAUGGGGAGGAUAAGAUCGAAGAUUGCAUGAGUUCAUAGAAUGAAGCAAAACCUUGGUCUAGCACUGGUUGGAUCAGGAAACAUGGUUUGGUUUAUCAAAUUAAGUACUAGUCAGAGCAAGUAAGAGUUUGAUAUGGGGAGGAUAAGAUCUAAGAUGGAGUUCAAAGAAUGAAGUAAAAAUCUUGCUCUUACACUAGUUGGAUCGUGAAACAAGGUUUGGUUUUUUAAACCAAGUACUAGUUCCAAUUAAGAGCGUAUAUGGGGAGGAUAAGAUCUAAGAUGGAGUUAAAAAAAUAGAGCAGAAGUCUUGCUCUUACACUAGUUGGAUCACAAAAAAGUUUGAUAAACCAAACCAAGUACUAGUUGAAGGAAGUAAUAGUUUGAUAUGGGGCGGAUAAGAUCUAAGAUGGAGUUCAAAGAAUGAAGUAAAAGCCUUGCACUUACAUUAGUUGGAUCAAGAAACAGGGUUUGGUUUAUCAAACCAAGUAUUAGUUAGAGCAAGUAAGAGUUUGACAUGGGGAGGAUAAGAUCUAAGAUGGAGUUCAGAUAGAAGCAAAACCUUACUCUUACACUAGUUGGAUCAGAAAACAUUGUUUGGUUUAUCAAACCAAGUACUAGUUAGAUUAAGUAAGAGUUUGAUAUGAGGAGGAUAAGAUCUAAGAUGGAGUUCAGAGAAUGAAGCAAAACUGUAUUUACACUAGUUGGAUCAGAAAAAAAGGUUUGAUAAACCAAACCAAGUACUAGUUAGAGGAAGUAAGAGUUUGAUAUGAGGAAGAUAAGAUCUAAGAUGGAGUUCAGAUGGAAGCAAAACCUUGCUCUUACACUAGUUGUAUCAAGAAACAAAAUUUGGUUUAUCAAACCAAGUACUAGUUAGAGCAAGUUAGAGUUUGAUAUGAGGAGGAUAAGAUCUAAGAUGGAGUUCAGAGAAUGAAGCAAAACCUUGCUCUCACACUAGUUCGAUCAGAAAACAAGAUUUGAUCAACGAAACAAAAUACUAGUUUGAGCAAGUACGAAAUUGAUGUGGGGAGGAUAAGAUCUAAGAUUGAGUUCAGAUAAUGAAGCAGAAGCCCUGCUCUUUCACUAGUUGUAUCAGCAAACAUGGUUUGGUUUUAUCAAGCAGAGUACUUGUAAGAGGAAGUAAGAGUUUGAUAUGGGGAGGAUAAGAUCUAAGAUGGAUUUCAAAGAUUGAAGUAAAAUCCUUGCUCUUACACUAGUUGUAUCAGCAAACAUGGUUUGGUUUAUCAAACAAAAUACUAGUUAGAGCAAGUAAGAGUUUGAUAUGGGGAAGAUAAGAUCGGAGAUGGAGUUCAGAGAAUGAAACAGAAGCCUUGCUCUUACACUAGUUGGAUCGCGAAACAUGGUUUGGUUUAUCAAACCAAGUACUAGUAAGAGUAAGUAAGAGUUUGAUAUUUGGAGGAUAAGAUCUAAGAUGGAGUUCAAAGCAUGAAGUAAAAAUCUUGCUCUUACACUAGUUGGAUCGUGAAACAAGGUUUGGUUUAUCAAACCAAGUACUAGUUAGAGCAAGUAAGAGUUUGAUAUGGGGAGGAUAAGAUCUAAGAUGGAGUUCAAAAAAUAGUGCAGAAGUCUUGCUCUUACACUAGUUGGAUCAGAAAAAUGGUUUGAUAAACCAAACCAAGUACUAGUUAGAGCAAGUAAGAGUUUAAUAUGGGGAGGAUAAAAUCUAAGAUGGAGUUCAGAGAAUGAAGUAGAAGCCUUGCUCUUACACUAGUUGGAUCAGGAAACAAGGUUUGAUAAACCAAACCAAGUACUAGUUAGAGCAAGUAAUAGUUUGAUAUGGGGAGGAUAAGAUCUAAGAUGGAGUUCAAAGAAUGAAGCAGAAGCCUUUCUCUUACACUAGUUGGAUCAGCAAACAUGGUUUGGUUGAUCAAAUCAAGUACUAGUUAGAGCAAGUAAGAGUUUGAUAUGGGGAGGAUCAGAUCUAAGAUUGAGUUCAAAGAAUAAAGUAAAAAACUUGCUCUUACACCAGUUGGAUCAUGAAACAAGGUUUGAUUUAUCAAACUUAGUACUAGUUCGAGCAAGUAAGAGCGUAUAUGGGGAGGAUAACAUCUAAGAUGGAGUUCAAAAAAUAGAGCAGAAGUCUUGCUCUUACACCAGUUGGAUCACAAAAAAGUUUGAGAAACCAAACCAAGUACUAGUUAGAGGAAGUAAGAGUUUGAUAUGGGGAGGAUAAGAUCUAAGAUGGAGUUCA